Non-coding RNA from Pelobates cultripes (western spadefoot toad), 249 nucleotides. Lineage: Eukaryota; Metazoa; Chordata; Amphibia; Anura; Pelobatidae. The record is from the annotation of a GenBank genome assembly.
AUGGUUAGCUCACAAAGCUGUAAUCAGAGGUUACUUUAUUAAACACGCUAGCUAUGCCAAAAAGAAACGCCUCGAGAAUUACACUAACAUACUGAAGGAACUAACUGAGGCUACACACUCAAACAAGCUAACUCCAACCCCUUCCCACCAUGCCAACAUCUUACGAUUGCAGGGCCAGUUGCGUGACUUUGAAUUAGCCAAGUCAACACUAAUGCUGCGAAGGAUGAAACAUGGUUUCUUUGCUUCGGG